Pelobates cultripes (western spadefoot toad) is the source of this 248-nucleotide non-coding RNA. The record is from the annotation of a GenBank genome assembly. NCBI's taxonomy places the organism in Eukaryota, Metazoa, Chordata, Amphibia, Anura, Pelobatidae.
ACUGGUUCAUGGAUUGCGGGAUAAAACUUACCAGGAAAGGUUAAAGGAUCUUAACAUGUAUAGCUUGGAGGAAAGACAAGACAGGGGGGAUAUGAUAGAAACAUUUAAAUAUAUAAAGGGAAUCAACACAGUAAAGGAGGAGACUAUAUUUAAAAGAAGAAAAACUACCACAACAAGAGGACAUGGUCUUAAAUUAGAGGGACAAAGGUUUAAAAAUAAUAUCAGGAAGUAUUACUUUACUGAGAGGG